This 506-nucleotide ribosomal RNA is filed under the name uncultured bacterium. Its description in RNAcentral is "partial 16S ribosomal RNA". It matches the Rfam family "Bacterial small subunit ribosomal RNA", at positions 29 to 523 of the family's 1533-position model. The record is from RNAcentral.
AGUGAACGCUGGCGGUAGGCCUAACACAUGCAAGUCGAACGGCAGCACAGGAGAGCUUGCUCUCUGGGUGGCGAGUGGCGGACGGGUGAGGAAUACAUCGGAAUCUACUCUGUCGUGGGGGAUAACGUAGGGAAACUUACGCUAAUACCGCAUACGACCUACGGGUGAAAGCAGGGGAUCUUCGGACCUUGCGCGAUUGAAUGAGCCGAUGUCGGAUUAGCUAGUUGGCGGGGUAAAGGCCCACCAAGGCGACGAUCCGUAGCUGGUCUGAGAGGAUGAUCAGCCACACUGGAACUGAGACAAGGUCCAGACUCCUACGGGAGGCAGCAGUGGGGAAUAUUGGACAAUGGGCGCAAGCCUGAUCCAGCCAUACCGCGUGGGUGAAGAAGGCCUUCGGGUUGUAAAGCCCUUUUGUUGGGAAAGAAAUCCAGCUGGCUAGUACCCGGUUGGGAUGACGGUACCCAAAGAAUAAGCACCGGCUAACUUCGUGCCAGCAGCCGCGGUAA